GUCGGCCCCGCAAGGGGCUUGACAUAUGAUCUAACAAAUAAACGAUACAGAGAAGAUUAGCGUUGCCCCUGCGUAUGGUUGGCAUCUUUGCUCAGAAGAGUCGUUCCUUUCGAGGAACAUCUAUGUUUUUU
RNAcentral lists this small nuclear RNA (131 nucleotides) under Moesziomyces antarcticus. Lineage: Eukaryota; Fungi; Basidiomycota; Ustilaginomycetes; Ustilaginales; Ustilaginaceae. The record is from RNAcentral.